ACCAACCUGCCGUGCGCGUGAUGGCGCAAUGCGUUUUGAGCCAACACCCAAACGAAGGGCAUCAAAGUCUGCUGUUGAUGGUGAUAGGCUUGCGGAGCUAAGACCGGAUAUAUCAGUUAGAUGACCCACCUGCGAAAGCAGGUUCAAAAACAUCGCGUUCACACGGCAUGGCAGGCUGCCC
RNAcentral lists this non-coding RNA (181 nucleotides) under Chloroflexota bacterium. RNAcentral's name for it is "Chloroflexi bacterium 6S RNA". It matches the Rfam family "6S / SsrS RNA". Rfam says of the family: E. coli 6S RNA was the first non coding RNA to be sequenced, but its function was unknown until recently. It consists of 184 nucleotides that fold into an extended hairpin structure with a large single-stranded internal bulge. RNAcentral also lists the same sequence under 1 other name. The record is from RNAcentral. Lineage: Bacteria; Bacillati; Chloroflexota.